GGACAUUGGGGCUAGUCGUCGUCGUUUGUUCUGUUGUCAGCUGUCAUCGACGAAUACUAGCUAUCAGGUCGUGGUGCCGUAGAUCGGCUGUGCUGUGAACCAUUUCUUUAGUGUAAAUACCGCAAGGACGCCCUGAAAAUGAAUGCCCCAGGCCAGCAGGAGGCUAUUCCUUGGUGGCAAAAAUACGGAGCCCGUGGUGUGGGCUGUGGAGGAGGCAUAAUUGCCUUAUGUCUUGGUGUUUUCAACUGCAUCACAGUCUACCCCUUAUGUAUUGUUGCUGGUAUAUGGCAGAUGAUGGCUGCGUUUAUUGUGAUCUCUGCUGAAGCGCCGUGUUGUUGUAUGUUCGUGGAGUUUGUUCAAAGAUAUUCGAAUUGGGUUGAAACUCGACCCCAUUGGCAGAAAGCAGCAUUUUAUGUGAUUAUAGCAUUGCCUGCAAUCAUCAUGUGCCCUGGCUUAUCCACCGUGUUUGGAUCUGGUCUCAUAUUUAUGACUGGUGUGUUGUAUGGCUUAAUGGCUCUUGGAAAGAAGGGUAGCCGAGAGGACAUGAUCGCCGCAGCCCAGCAAAACACUGGGCCUGCCAACUCUCAAAGUGCCAUCCUAGUGGACGACCCUGAGGCCUGGCGCUCAACUUGAGCCCAGUAAUGGCUCAGUAACAAGUACCAUCCAGCAUUUUGAUAACCAGCUACUAACAUGUUCGUUUUUUCUCAACAACUAACUCUUUGAAGCAUGAAAAAGGAUCCCGAGAUGACAUGAUAGCAGCGGCUCAGGGGUCCGUACGAUCAGGAAAGGACAUAUUAGUGGAUGCUGAACAGCCACCAGCAUCUGCUUAAUUUCCACCCCCCACUUUUUUUUUUUUUUUUUUUUUUUUUUCUAGAAACAAAACCUUCCAACCCUUCUUUGGGUAGUGAAAAGUGAAACUUACUUUUUGCCUGCUUACCGUAUUUUACAUGUACCAGUACUGUAUAUGAAUGAGGGUAACCUUGUAUUUAUACACAUAUUUGUGCCAUUUGAAUGACUGUGAAACACUUGUUUAGGUACUUUAUAAGUAAACAAUAUUUUAGUAAACAUUCAUCUAAAUCAAGGCUGACAUGUAUUUUAUUGUACUUAUAUAAUUUUAAAUAAUUGAAAAUAUUCUGGGUUAUGGAUGAAAUUUAGAUAAACUGGUAGAACUUGGGAAUAUUUUUUUUUUUUUGGCAAUGAGUAAAUGACAGAUGCACAAUGCUGAACCUUUAAUUAUUGAUCAAACUUUUAAAAGUAACACUUCUGCCUCAGGGUGUAUUUUCCUGGACAUGGUUGUAUUACAGUCACAACAGGAAAAAGAAUAUAUUUUACAGUGCUGGUGGACUACCUUAAGAAUGUACCAAUUUUAAGGAUGUAUAGAUUUUUUAUAAGGAACUUCUGUGAAGCUGUCUUUUUCUGAGUGCAAAAUAUUCAGACAGAAGGAAUGAGUGACAGCAAUAUGUGCACCAUGGUGAACUAUUGAUUGGUAAGAGCAUGUUUUUUAAAAGUACAUAUCUCCUGUUUUCAUGUGAGCGCUGCUGAUGAGAUCAUGUUUCUAAACCAUAACUAGCUGGCUAUGCAGAAUUUUGGGUAUCCCAUGGUAUAAGACAUUGUGAAUUAUGCAGUAUGGUAUAUAUAUAUAGGAAUUUUGAAGUAUAUAGUUCAUGAAAAUUAUGGCCAUUCCUUCCAUACUCCUUCCAUUUUCAAGUCAACUCUGUAGGUACAUUUUUCAGUUUAACAGACAAUAGUGAAUUUGCAUUGCUCCGUCAUAAAUGCAAAAUGUCAAGCUUGCUUCUACAGGCAUUAUUGGAAUUCAUACAUUUCUAAUCAAUGGUAGGUGAAUGAAUAAUUAUAGUACAUAGAAAUUUGGUUGUAUGUAUGUGAUGCCUUGUUUGCUGGAAAUUCUAUUAAGAUUAGUAAUGUUUUCUUCUUUGCAUAAGGUUAAUGGUUUUCAAUUUGCACGUGAUGUAUACCUAGUUUAUUAUUUUAGGGAUAUUUUCUUUGGGUGUUUACAUACAAGGAUGGUAAUUUUGAGAAUAUAUUUACACAAGAUGUUUAUGCAGAAUUUAAAAAAUUACUAUAGACGAUGUACAUUGGUACCAUUACCAGUUCCAAGCUCUUGAAUAAUUAAACUAGUUUCAGUGAUUGAACAUAAUAUCCCAGAAUUAUUUGUGGCGUACUGUAUGAAGUAAUGCAGAAAGAGAAACCAUAUACUUUUAUUAUGGAUGACUUAAUUUUAGAUUUCAGAAUUUAAAAAAGCUUUUUGUAGAUGGUAAAAUUAUUAGUCCAAUUCCCAUUUUUGUUCAGGAAUUUUGUGUAAUUCUUGUUUGAUGUUUCCUCAAGUUAAUUUUAUGCAGUCUUUGGAAUUGCAGGUCUUUGUUUCCAAUGGUUCACUGAUUACCUUGUGUUAAUUGAACCUGUCUGCUCUACAUGUGAAACUGGAGGCUUAGAAGAAUAAAAUUGCAUAUACAUAACAUUUUCUUUUGCUUAGGAAGUAUUGGUUGAUAAUUAAUUUUUGCAUAGACAUCAUGUAAGAUGGUGCUGCAACUGUUAGAAGAUUAUCAUUUUAAGUAGAGUUUUAUUCAUGCAAAUUUAAAAAAAAACGUUUCUGCCACAUAAAGUCUUACCAACCAUUUAUGAAGAUAUACUUUAAACAUAUAGUUGAAUUGAUGAAUUUAAAGGAUUUUAUUCUAGUUCAAUAUCUUCAUAAUGUUUCUUAAAAUUUGGGCUAUACAUAUAUGUAUAUAUUUUGUUUAAGAAGGAGGUAACUUCAAAUUUAAAAGCAUGGAAAUGCAUCUUUCAGGGAAUCUUACUGUACUUCUGUGAGGGCUAAAGUGAUCAGUUGCUAAAUAAAAUUACUGCUUUGAGAUAACAUCAUUUUCUAAUUUACAUUACAUGAUGCCUAAAAUGUAGAUUGGUAAGGUUUGGAUUGCAUAUGGUUUACAAAGUUAACUAAUUAUUAAUUAUUCUCAUAAGUGCAUACGCAUGAUUCUCCAUCCUUAAAACUAUAUUGUAGAAUAUUUCCAAUCAUAUCAGCAUGAAUAGAUUUUGUAUACUGUAGACUUUGCUACUGGCUUCUUCCUUAUGAGUCCUAUUUUUGUUUUGUUAUCAAGUAUUGCUCAAUUACCUAUCAGCAUUAAUGGGAUUCAGAACUGAUUUAGUCUAUGAUUCUAAAUAUAUUCUCUUUUAAUUAAAGAUCAUCACAGCUUACCAAAGAUUAGUUAUUGAAAACUAUUUUAGUGCAAAAAUCACAUGAACCUCUUCCAAAAGAAUUUCAUAUUUGUUUUUCAGGUUUUCUAAAAGCAUUUGGCAAAUUGUUGCCUAUAGAAAGUCAAACCAUAAUAUUUUUCAGAUAUGGUACUACCUUAAUGGUAUAAAUACAGUACUGUAUAAUCUUGUGUAUUCCUUCUCAGUGCUUUGCCUUUAACUUUGGGGUGAUUAAUGUAUGUAGUUUUUUUUAUAGUACUGCAUAUAUAGAUAUCUCUUUCUUUGUACUUAAACAUGUUUUUGUCACAUGAUUUAUUUGGACAAGUAUGAUGUUAUGUGGGAAGUCCCCCAGAAUUUCCUCAUGUCUGACAUUUGUUUGUCAAAGCAAGACCAUGUGUUUAAUGCACUAGAUAUCCUUUAACUUUGUAGCACUUUUAAAAAGAAUGUUGCAGUUACAUAGAUGUACGUAUGAUUAUUUUGUUAAGAUUUAUUAGUAAUCUAUAUUACUGAGCAUUUGCAGGCAGAAUAGCAGAGAUGAAUUCAGGAACAUAUCCUGAGCUUUUCUCUCUUCUGCCAUUCACCCAUUAUAUGUACUAUAUGAUUUUCCCAUCCCCCCCUCUUAUGAAUGAAUCUUCCUUUUUUUUUCUCGGUCUUGUCUGGUAACAUGGGAUAGGAUUAUGCACCCCUUUCUUGCUGACAUCUUUCAGUGAUAUUUCUGUAUGUAAUGUUAUUUUUUUUUUACGCAGGCUUUGUCUCUGGUUCCUCUAUGCAUGGGUAUUUAUCCAUGCUGAUAUUAAUUGUAGAAACCUCAAAAAGUAGUGCAUUUUUGACUUAUGAUUCCAUGUUUUCAUUAAGAAAUAAUCUAUAAUAAUUUCACAAAAUUAAAGAAGUUAUCUAAAGUAGUGCAUUGAUAUAUUCCGUAUGUAUAUGAUAUUCAACUUUGCUUAAUACCAAAUUGAACAGUUUGUGGGGGUAAUUUUGUGAACUGUAGUCAAGGCAUUAGGUUCACCUUUGCACUGCAUAGUGUUUCAAGAAGUUGUGCCUUGUAAUGGUAGCUCUAGGCAUGAACAGAUAUUUAAUUCAAACAUGUUAGUGUGAAUACUUUUGGUAAUGUUUUUUUGUUGCUCGGAAUGUGUUCAUUGUUGUACCGUAAAUAAUUGUAAGUUAUUGCUUAUGCAAUGUGAGUCAAACUUGCAGUAUAUAUUUGCUCUUGCUUCCUCUGUAUUAGGAACUUGGAUACCCAAGUUAGGCUGUGAGCUGUAGACAGUUAUGAAUUAUUUGUAUUUCUAUUUUUGGGAAUGCUACAAAACCUCACAAGCAGUAUCAGUACACUAUUUGAGCAUAGUAAGAACUGAAGUGUUGAAAGUGCCCCCAUCCAAUCCUGGAAGAAUUUAUGACCAAAAUUUAUGGGAUUACACAUAAACUUUGUGAAAUCACUAUACAUACUUGUUUAAGGAUCACCAGUCAAAAGAAUAUAUAGCCAUUCUGAUUUGACUAGAUUGUUACUGGUAACAUUGGGAGCGAUAAAUUAUAAAUUCCAUUCCAUGCUUUGCAUCUGAACUUUUCCAAUUUUCUUUUUAUUCUUUCCUCUAUUUCUCUACAAAUAUGCAUGGUACUAACAUACAAGAAAUUACUAAUGUUUUAGAAUACUUACAAUUUCAAACUUGAACAAGGCAGGGUUUAUUUACUUUAGAAUGAACAUCAUGAACAUUGAUAUAAAGAUAACUAGCUUUAGUAUUUGUGUUAAAGGUUAUGCUCAUUCCAUUAAAUUACAUAUCAUACAGGUUAGAUUUCUAAUUUUAUUGUGUCUCCUUUGUAUAGUAUAAAGUUUAUUGAAAGUAAAAAGUUAUGAAUGGAUUUUUGUGAUGAAGACAGUUGUUGGAUACAUUUCAGCUGUAUGAGAUCCUUGGCUUCCCAAAUUACUUUAAAAACCUUUACCUUUAGAUUAUUUUAUAAUCAACUUUUGCCAUAAAGAAAUUGGAUUUUAACUAUAAUGUAAGACUGAUAUAUGCUUUGCCAAUUCAAUUUAAGGUGCUGAUUAACUUGAUUGUUGAAUAUUCAAGAAAUUAAAAGUAAUUUGAAUACAAGAAAUUUUUUUUUUCUAGACCACCGAGUUAAAAUAACCCGCAAAGGGCAGGCCAUUGGUCACCAACCUAUUAAUAGGAGCAAGAACAAAUAUAUAUAAAUAUUUAUGUUUCCGUUGGCAGUACCACAAAGAUCUGAUACUUAAUGGUUGGUGUGGAAGGAUUGUGCAAAUACUGUGUACAAUUGCCAGUUAUUGAUAAAAAUAACACCACAAGGUAAUAUUAGUGUUGAAACAUUUUAGUGUCUUGUGUGUGAAACCUAAAAAAAAUUACAAAAAAAAUUAAAUCAUUCCAUUUCCUAAGUAAAUACUUAUGUAAAACUGUAAAACAGACAUUUGUUUUGAAAGUAAUUAGAGUAUUGUAAUCCUUUUGUAAUGAUUUUAUCAGAUACUUAUCAGUACGUAUAUCAGUUUUGAUACAAGUACUUGACAUCUUUGAACCUUUAUUUCGAACUAAGAGAUGUAGGUACUUUAAAUGCAAAAUCAUGAUAAGAAAAUCUGGAGUUGUUGUUAUUCAAGGCUGAUUCCUGCAUAUGUUAUGAAAAUGUUGAAUGUAUGAUGUGUUAAUAGUAGGCAUGUAUCCACUAAGGAGACUGUAAGAUACUGUACAUUUGUGUAAGCCUAAUUGUGUCAGUGUAAAUACUUUGUUAGAUAUCAGAUGAUGUUGGUAAUACAAUUCAGGAACUAUUGAUAUGAUGGGGUUUGCUUUUUAGCAUACAGUGAAAGGAGAGGUGUUCCUCAGUGACUAAUGCUGUCUUGGAAGGUUAUACCCGGUGGUGGAUUUUUUCAUGUUGCUUAUGUAUAAAGUCUAUAAAGAGUUCCAAUUCUUCACUGUCUUAUAGUGGCCUGAAUUGACUUGCCAUUGGUGUAUUUGUUAAUAAAUAAAAGGAAAAGUUUUUUUUUUUUUAAUGCUUUUUUUAAUUAAUUUUUUUUUUCUAUUGUUUUUGAGUGAGGUUUGAAUUAAAAUGCCUUGUUUGGGAGCUAGGCACCUGUGCUUAACUUGUUUUGUGUGUUUCAGUUUCUAUUUACCAAACUGCUAUACUUUCCGUAAGUGGCAAAUAAUAUGGAAAUUGGCCAUUUAUUUGUAAUAGUCUUUUUAGUUUUGUAGAUAAUGGCAUUAUUUUUAGUGUAACGCAAUUUACUUCCUUUGUUUUUAGUUUCUUAGGCGGCUUUUUGAAAAUAAUGUUGCACCAUGUUUAUUGUUCAUGAAGCAAAAUGUGAAUUUGUGUAAAGUUAUUUAGUGUACCCAAUAAAGUGGAUCGAUUUA
Molecule: RNA transcript, 6557 nt
Organism: Macrobrachium nipponense
Lineage: Eukaryota; Metazoa; Arthropoda; Malacostraca; Decapoda; Palaemonidae
Gene: fwe
Gene name: calcium channel flower homolog
Exons: 6
Source: RefSeq, a predicted model, not a curated record